Molecule: ribosomal RNA, 617 nt
Filed under: Escherichia coli
Lineage: Bacteria; Pseudomonadati; Pseudomonadota; Gammaproteobacteria; Enterobacterales; Enterobacteriaceae
Description: bacterial LSU rRNA
Rfam family: Bacterial large subunit ribosomal RNA
Source: RNAcentral
GGGUUGUGAGGUUAAGCGACUAAGCGUACACGGUGGAUGCCCUGGCAGUCAGAGGCGAUGAAGGACGUGCUAAUCUGCGAUAAGCGUCGGUAAGGUGAUAUGAACCGUUAUAACCGGCGAUUUCCGAAUGGGGAAACCCAGUGUGAUUCGUCACACUAUCAUUAACUGAAUCCAUAGGUUAAUGAGGCGAACCGGGGGAACUGAAACAUCUAAGUACCCCGAGGAAAAGAAAUCAACCGAGAUUCCCCCAGUAGCGGCGAGCGAACGGGGAGCAGCCCAGAGCCUGAAUCAGUGUGUGUGUUAGUGGAAGCGUCUGGAAAGGCGCGCGAUACAGGGUGACAGCCCCGUACACAAAAAUGCACAUACUGUGAGCUCGAUGAGUAGGGCGGGACACGUGGUAUCCUGUCUGAAUAUGGGGGGACCAUCCUCCAAGGCUAAAUACUCCUGACUGACCGAUAGUGAACCAGUACCGUGAGGGAAAGGCGAAAAGAACCCCGGCGAGGGGAGUGAAAAAGAACCUGAAACCGUGUACGUACAAGCAGUGGGAGCACGCUUAGGCGUGUGACUGCGUACCUUUUGUAUAAUGGGUCAGCGACUUAUAUUCUGUAGCAAGGUUA